GUCUACCGCCACGCCGCCCUGCGCAAGCCCCAUCCCGUCCGCUUAGCGGAAGCUAAGCAGGGUCGGGCCUGGUUAGUCCUUGGAUGGGAGACCACCUAGGAAGACCAGGUGCUGUAGACC
RNAcentral lists this ribosomal RNA (120 nucleotides) under Pteropus vampyrus (large flying fox). Lineage: Eukaryota; Metazoa; Chordata; Mammalia; Chiroptera; Pteropodidae. The record is from RNAcentral.